This 76-nucleotide transfer RNA is filed under the name Thermobispora bispora. RNAcentral describes it as "tRNA-Gly". It matches the Rfam family "tRNA". From Rfam's summary of the family: Transfer RNA (tRNA) molecules are approximately 80 nucleotides in length. Their secondary structure includes four short double-helical elements and three loops (D, anti-codon, and T loops). Lineage: Bacteria; Bacillati; Actinomycetota; Actinomycetes; Streptosporangiales; Streptosporangiaceae. RNAcentral also lists the same sequence under 1 other name. The record is from RNAcentral.
GCGGAAGUGGCUCAGUUGGUAGAGCAUCACCUUGCCAAGGUGAGGGUCGCGGGUUCGAGUCCCGUCUUCCGCUCGA